RNAcentral lists this ribosomal RNA (510 nucleotides) under uncultured bacterium. Its description in RNAcentral is "partial 16S ribosomal RNA". It matches the Rfam family "Bacterial small subunit ribosomal RNA", at positions 29 to 523 of the family's 1533-position model. The record is from RNAcentral.
AACGAACGUUAGCGGCGCGCCCAACACAUGCAAGUCGAACGCGACAGGGGCAACUCUGUCGAGUGGCGCACGGGUGAGUAACACGUAGGUAAUCUCCCCACGAGUGGUGGAUAAUCUCCCGAAAGGAGGGCUAAUACAGCAUAACACCACGGCUUCGAAAGGAGCUGAGGUCAAAGCGGAGGAUUGCAAGACUUCGCGCUUGGGGAUGAGCCGGCGGGCCAUCAGGUAGUUGGCGGGGUAACAGCCCACCAAGCCUAAGACGGGUAGCGGGUCUGAGAGGAUGAUCAGCCACACUGGAACUGAGACACGGUCAAGACUCCAACGGGAGGCAGCAGUGGGGAAUCUUGCGCAAUGGACGAAAGUCUGACGCAGCGACGCCGGAUGGGUGAUGAAGGCCUUCGGGUUGUAAAGCCCUGUGGGGAGGGACGAAUAAGUUUCAGCUAAUACCUGAAGCGAUGACGGUACCUCCUUAGCAAGCACCGGCUAACUCUGUGCCAGCCGCCGCCGUAA